Molecule: ribosomal RNA, 500 nt
Filed under: uncultured Myrionecta
Lineage: Eukaryota; Ciliophora; Litostomatea; Cyclotrichida; Mesodiniidae
Description: SSU rRNA
Rfam family: Eukaryotic small subunit ribosomal RNA
Source: RNAcentral
AAAUGUCUCAAGAAUAGCCAUGCACGUCUAAGUACAAACUAAAUGAUGGUGAAACUGCAAAUGGCUCAUUACAACGGUUAUGAUGUACCCGGGAGUUCCGAUGGAUAUUUCCAGUAACACUAGAACUAAUACAUGUCCCUGCGUUUAUUAGUUUCGCACAGUCCGUCGCUGAGUCAUGGUAAACAGUUGAUCGACUCGACGUCCCGGAACAGUUUCCGCCCCAUCAGCUUCGAUGGUUGGGUAUUGGCCUACCAUUGCAACAACGGGUAACGAGGAAUUAGGGUUUGAUUUCGGAGAGGGAGCCUGAGAAACGGCUACCACAUCUACGGAUGGCAGCAGGCGCGCAAAUUACCCAAUGCAGACACUGUGAGGUAGUGACGAGAAAUAAUAAAGCGGGACUUCUGUUUCGCUAUUAUAAUGAGGAAUAACCAAAGGUCAUUCCGAUUAGCAACUGAUGGGAAAGUCUGGUGCCAGCAGCCGCGGUAAUACCAGCGUCAGUA